CUUGGAUUUUCAAUCACUUUUUAACAACAAAGAAUCUGGACCGGCACGUAUUCGGCGCUAUACAGGGGGUAGAGGCAGUGAAAAUUUGAAGAAAACAGACGAAGAUGAAGACGAGGAUCCUUAUAAUUAUAAAGCAGAAUAUAUAUCAAAGCCUAAGGCUUUUGAUGAGAGUUCUUAUAGCAGUCCUUAUAAAAAAAAGAAGGAUUCAGAAGACAAAUAUGAAUACCCAUAUAACUAUGACUCAGGCUAUGAUCAUAAAGAAUAUGAAAGAAUAAAAGAAUUGUCUGAAAAGCAGGCAGCUGAAAUUAGACAAAAUCCAGGAAAUUGCAAGGAAGUAAUAAAGGAUGGAAUGACAUGUAUGACAUGUAAAGAUGCUAAAACUGGUGGAAACUACGAAUCAUGUUCAUAUGUUGCAGCUCC
RNAcentral lists this unclassified non-coding RNA (420 nucleotides) under Melitaea cinxia (Glanville fritillary). RNAcentral describes it as "misc RNA ENSMCXG00005006633.1". Lineage: Eukaryota; Metazoa; Arthropoda; Insecta; Lepidoptera; Nymphalidae. The record is from RNAcentral.